Molecule: ribosomal RNA, 258 nt
Filed under: uncultured Glomus
Lineage: Eukaryota; Fungi; Glomeromycota; Glomeromycetes; Glomerales; Glomeraceae
Description: partial 18S ribosomal RNA
Rfam family: Eukaryotic small subunit ribosomal RNA
Source: RNAcentral
AAGCUCGUAGUUGAAUUUCGGAAUAAGCAGGUCGGUCGUGCCACAGGUAUGUACUGGUCUUGCUGAUUCCUCCCUCUUGACGAGCCGUAAUGCCAUUAAUUUGGUGUUGCGGGGAAUCAGGACUGUUACUUUGAAAAAAUUAGAGUGUUUAAAGCAGGCUCACGCUUGAAUACAUUAGCAUGGAAUAAUGAAAUAGGACGUUCGAUCCUAUUUUGUUGGUUUCUAGGAUUGACGUAAUGAUUAAUAGGGAUAGUUGGG